Hibiscus syriacus is the source of this 256-nucleotide long non-coding RNA. RefSeq lists it as uncharacterized. The record is from RefSeq and is a predicted model, not a curated record. NCBI's taxonomy places the organism in Eukaryota, Viridiplantae, Streptophyta, Magnoliopsida, Malvales, Malvaceae. The transcript is spliced from 2 exons.
UACUAUUCCUGGAAUAUUAUGAAAUAAUAAAUCUGAAAACUAAAGAGUCGUUAACCAUUUUCCAUGUAAAUGUUCCAGGUAAAAAAUGAUAUACAUACACAUAUAGGAAGGCAAAAUGAUACAAAAAGCCUAAAGCAAACCUUGAUCUUUAUAUUUCUCAUACAAUUUACUCAGCUCAGUGUAGUUGGAAUUGGUCAAGCCACUGCAUCAAUUUUAAGCAGCAAAUUAAAAACUUUGUGUAGGCACUAGCAGAUAA